ACGAACGCUGGCGGCGUGCCUAACACAUGCAAGUGGAGCGACGAACCGGGGCUUGCCCCGGGGCAGAGCCGCGAACGGGUGAGUAACACGUGGGUAACCUGCCCCGAUGACUGGGACAACCCGUCGAAUGACGGGCUAAUACCGGAUGUGCCCCUUGGGGGAAAGGAAGCUUCGGCCUCCGCAUCGGGAUGGGCCCGCGGCGCAUUAGCUUGUUGGUGGGGUAAUGGCUUACCAAGGCGACGAUGCGUAGCUGGUCUGAGAGGACGAUCAGCCACACUGGGACUGAGACACGGCCCAGACUCCUACGGGAGGCAGCAGUGGGGAAUCUUGCACAAUGCGCGAAAGCGUGAUGCAGCAACGCCGCGUGCGGGAAGAAGGCCUUAGGGUUGUAAACCGCUUUCAGUUGGGACGAAGCUUCAGUCGUUAAUAGCGGUUUGGAGUGACGGUACCUUCAGAAGAAGCGCCGGCUAACUACGU
Molecule: ribosomal RNA, 477 nt
Filed under: uncultured bacterium
Lineage: Bacteria
Description: bacterial SSU rRNA
Rfam family: Bacterial small subunit ribosomal RNA
Source: RNAcentral